GUUUUGUUUUGUUUUAAGAAGCAGUGGAAAUCGCAUAUUUAUGCCACAAGGAAGAGUCUUGUUUACAUGCAAGAAAGAAUUUAAGCUACUUGAGAAACCCAACAUUAAAAGUAAAUUGCAGAAUUAAAGAAAUCAUCUGUUUAAUUAAGGCCUCCAGAACAAUACCUUGUGUGAAAAGAACAAAUGCAUAAGGAAAGAAAAAGACAUUUUUUUGAAUUAAAGAUGUGAAAUCAAUAUAUACUUCACAGGAUGUGGGACAAAUAUCUCCCCCCCCCCAAAGAAAACAAUACCAAGAAAGAUCGCAUUUACUGAAAUGAAGUAUAAUAUUCUUGGUCAUAAUGUGAUAUCAAGAAAAAUCAACUUCGUGAACAAAGUGUACAGAAUUAGGGAAGAAAGGUAAAGAUGAUGGACCAUUAAAAAGAAACUCAAAGAUAUUCUGCUUUAAUAGCAUGUCUUGCAGGUUCUAGCCCACAAAUCUUUUUCUACUAUCCCUUUCCUGUUAGUCCACAGCAUUUUGGUAAAGCAGUGGAAAGCCUC
RNAcentral lists this long non-coding RNA (537 nucleotides) under Felis catus (domestic cat). RNAcentral's name for it is "lncRNA (ENSFCAG00000048022.1)". The record is from RNAcentral. Lineage: Eukaryota; Metazoa; Chordata; Mammalia; Carnivora; Felidae.